Long non-coding RNA from Scophthalmus maximus (turbot), 1033 nucleotides. RefSeq lists it as uncharacterized. The record is from RefSeq and is a predicted model, not a curated record. The transcript is spliced from 3 exons. Lineage: Eukaryota; Metazoa; Chordata; Actinopteri; Pleuronectiformes; Scophthalmidae.
CUCAUAAAAAUGCACUCCGCUCACCCCGCCAGCUACACCUCACUUUUACCCCCUUUGGUUUUCCUUUCCUCAUCCUCUCGUUCACCCUGAACUUCCCUUCGUCCCCUCUCUCCCGUGCAGACGGCGGCGGGUCACAGCCCUCUGAUGUUGCGGGGGCCGACAGAGGUCACGGCAGCCAUAUUCUCUUAAUGGCGGAGUCACCGGAGUCAACAAGGCAUGGGUGGCCUGCGAGGCCUCUGCAACCUCCACCUCUCCCCGGUAAAGAGUCGAGUAAACUCGCCACGAAGCGACGAAGUGGCGGAGGCGGCAGCGUCGCUCUGCGCAGCGACUGCGCCGUGUCGGGCACAGAGUGCAGAGGACGUGAGCCACGUGUGGAAGAGUCAGUGUGUUUGCACUUGAGUCCGCUCUUGAUCCCUUGGGCAGAGCCUCGACACACACACACACACACACACACACACACACACACACAAACACACACCUACACACACACACACACACACACUCUCCUAUAUGUUCGCACACGCUCAACAGGCCUUGGCGGAUGCAGAGGAGGGAGCACUCGAGCCUCGACGGCGUGUGACGAAUAACUGCAGCAGCCUUGACACGCAGAAUGACUCCACGGUGAACCCGCCUGUGACUCUGUGCUGCUGCUGCUGCUGCUGCUGCUGCUAGACACAGUUCUUCUUUCUUCACAGCAGAGCUACGACAGGAAGAAAAUCACGUAAAACCUUUGGUUCACAUUCACGGUUUAAUUGAAUCAUGCGGCAUGUAAGGUCGCGAUACGGCGUGAGAGCUCACAAGUGGCAUGCUGCUGAAGAUAAGUGACACAAGGCUCACACGUAUAGAUUUUUUGAUCAUUAUAUCGGUAAACUACUAAUACUACCACUAAUCCAUAUACGCCGAGAUGGGAUGUCUUCAAUACAAAAUUCUAAAAAUAAUCUAGAGAAAAUGUCCAAUGUCCUUGAUUGGCUUUUACUCCACCGUGCAUCUCAAACUGCUGCAUGAGCAAGAAUUAUUAAAACUGGAAAAUCAA